This is a regulatory RNA element of Astyanax mexicanus (Mexican tetra), 114 nucleotides long. It matches the Rfam family "Potassium channel RNA editing signal". From Rfam's summary of the family: This family represents a group of sequences related to the human potassium channel Kv1.1 hairpin element which directs the efficient modification of an adenosine to inosine by an adenosine deaminase acting on RNA (ADAR). The ADAR modification causes an isoleucine/valine recoding event which lies in the ion-conducting pore of the potassium channel. The record is from Rfam. Lineage: Eukaryota; Metazoa; Chordata; Actinopteri; Characiformes; Acestrorhamphidae.
UUGGGCUAUGGGGACAUGUACCCACAGACAUGGUCAGGUAUGCUGGUGGGAGCACUGUGUGCCCUAGCAGGCGUGCUAACAAUAGCCAUGCCUGUGCCAGUUAUUGUGAAUAAC